This 279-nucleotide ribosomal RNA is filed under the name uncultured bacterium. Its description in RNAcentral is "partial 16S ribosomal RNA". It matches the Rfam family "Bacterial small subunit ribosomal RNA", at positions 506 to 784 of the family's 1533-position model. The record is from RNAcentral.
UGCCAGCAGCCGCGGUAAUACGAAGGGGGCUAGCGUUGCUCGGAAUUACUGGGCGUAAAGGGCGCGUAGGCGGUCUUGUUAGUCAGGCGUGAAAUUCCUGGGCUUAACCUGGGGGCUGCGCUUGAUACGGCAGGACUUGAGGAUGGAAGAGGCUCGUGGAAUUCCCAGUGUAGAGGUGAAAUUCGUAGGUAUUGGGAAGAACACCGGUGGCGAAGGCGGCGAGCUGGUCCAUUACUGACGCUGAGGCGCGACAGCGUGGGGAGCAAACAGGAUUAGAUA